GUAUAUUUUUGUUAACUCCAAAGGACAGACUUUCAGGGCAGUUUACCAGGAGACAGCUUUUACAAUGAGUGCACUGGCAAGAGGAAGGAAAAAGCCAUUUUUGCUGCUUCAUGUGUUGCCUACACAGAGACUGUUACAGUGGCUUCAGCAGAGUCAGUGGUUGUGUCAACAGCAUCUGGAGCAGAGAGGGCAAGCUUAGUUCAUAUGAAGCAGCAAUAGCAACAGAAGAAAAGGCAGUGACAUCACCCUCAGCUUGUUGGAGCAAAUGCAAAACUGUACAUCAACUGGAUUAAAUUAAAGGCAAGUAUGUGAGGCUGAAAUGGGCUAUUUUGCUUGAUUAUAAUGGUAGGAAUGAUGAGUACAUUGUGGAAUACAUGGGCUACUUCUGAUUGCACUGGAAGAGCUCAGUCAGUGUACAUUCAGAAACACUGAAACCAUCAGAGAUAUUUCAGUCUCCAUCGGCCCCCUUCCAGAGGCACCACAAUAUGCAGAGAAUAAAGGACUCCUUUCUUACUCCCACCUUCCAAUUCAUUAUUACUUCCCCAUGGCAGAAGCUAAAUAAUCAAGAUGGUAAAGGAUCAGUGGAAAUAAAGUUUUUAGGCUUCCAGCUUCCUGCAGGGAAGGGAAAUCACAAAAGGUUAGAGCAGAGCUAAGUGCCUAUAGACAAAUAACCAGCUCAGUGAUUACAUUGUUAACAAGUUUUAUAGUUGGCCCU
Molecule: long non-coding RNA, 715 nt
Filed under: Homo sapiens (human)
Lineage: Eukaryota; Metazoa; Chordata; Mammalia; Primates; Hominidae
Description: HSALNT0063732
Source: RNAcentral